This 256-nucleotide unclassified non-coding RNA is filed under the name uncultured Hypocreales. RNAcentral's name for it is "sequence contains 5.8S rRNA gene, ITS2, 28S rRNA gene". The record is from RNAcentral. Lineage: Eukaryota; Fungi; Ascomycota; Sordariomycetes; Hypocreales.
AACGCACAUUGCGCCCGCCAGCACUCUGGCGGGCAUGCCUGUCCGAGCGUCAUUUCAACCCUCAGACCCCCCGGGGACUGGUGUUGGGGAUCGGCCCGCCCUGGUGCGGCGCCGUCCCCGAAAUAUAGUGGCGGUCUCGCUGCAGCCUCCCCUGCGUAGUAGCACACCUCGCAUUGGAGAGCGGCGCGGCCACGCCGUGAAACCCCAACUUCUGAUAGUUGACCUCGGAUCAGGUAGGAAUACCCGCUGAACUUAA